AGCGAACGCUGGCGGCAGGCUUAACACAUGCAAGUCGAACGCCCCGCAAGGGGAGUGGCAGACGGGUGAGUAACACGUGGGAACGUACCCUUUGGUUAGGGAUAACUUGGGGAAACUCAAGCUAAUACCGGAUAAGCCCUUAUGGGGAAAGGUUUACUGCCGAAGGAUCGGCCCGCGUCUGAUUAGCUAGUUGGUGAGGUAAUGGCUCACCAAGGCGACGAUCAGUAGCUGGUCUGAGAGGAUGAUCAGCCACACUGGGACUGAGACACGGCCCAGACUCCUACGGGAGGCAGCAGUGGGGAAUAUUGGACAAUGGGGGCAACCCUGAUCCAGCCAUGCCGCGUGAGUGAUGAAGGCCUUAGGGUUGUAAAGCUCUUUUACCCGGGACGAUAAUGACCGUACCGGGAGAAUAAGCCCCGGCUAACUUCGUGCCAGCAGCCGCCGUAA
RNAcentral lists this ribosomal RNA (447 nucleotides) under uncultured bacterium. RNAcentral's name for it is "partial 16S ribosomal RNA". It matches the Rfam family "Bacterial small subunit ribosomal RNA", at positions 29 to 523 of the family's 1533-position model. The record is from RNAcentral.